This 77-nucleotide transfer RNA is filed under the name Gammaproteobacteria bacterium. RNAcentral describes it as "tRNA-Ile". It matches the Rfam family "tRNA". From Rfam's summary of the family: Transfer RNA (tRNA) molecules are approximately 80 nucleotides in length. Their secondary structure includes four short double-helical elements and three loops (D, anti-codon, and T loops). Lineage: Bacteria; Pseudomonadati; Pseudomonadota; Gammaproteobacteria. The record is from RNAcentral. RNAcentral also lists the same sequence under 10 other names.
GGGCCUGUAGCUCAGCUGGUUAGAGCAGUGGACUCAUAAUCCAUUGGUCGUAGGUUCAAGUCCUACCGGGCCCACCA